AUUGAACGCUGGCGGCAUGCUUUACACAUGCAAGUCGAACGGCAGCGCGGGCUUCGGCCUGGCGGCGAGUGGCGAACGGGUGAGUAAUGCAUCGGAACGUGCUCAGUAGUGGGGGAUAGCCCGGCGAAAGCCGGAUUAAUACCGCAUACGACCUGAGGGUGAAAGCGGGGGACCGAAAGGCCUCGCGCUAUUGGAGCGGCCGAUGUCGGAUUAGCUAGUUGGUGGGGUAAAGGCUUACCAAGGCGACGAUCCGUAGCUGGUCUGAGAGGACGACCAGCCACACUGGGACUGAGACACGGCCCAGACUCCUACGGGAGGCAGCAGUGGGGAAUUUUGGACAAUGGGGGCAACCCUGAUCCAGCCAUGCCGCGUGCGGGAAGAAGGCCUUCGGGUUGUAAACCGCUUUUGUUCGGGAAGAAAUCCUCUGGGCUAAUACCCCGGGGGGAUGACGGUACCGGAAGAAUAAGCACCGGCUAACUACGUG
This 484-nucleotide ribosomal RNA is filed under the name uncultured bacterium. Its description in RNAcentral is "partial 16S ribosomal RNA". It matches the Rfam family "Bacterial small subunit ribosomal RNA", at positions 28 to 507 of the family's 1533-position model. The record is from RNAcentral.